RNAcentral lists this transfer RNA (451 nucleotides) under Acidithiobacillus ferrooxidans. RNAcentral describes it as "partial 16S-23S ribosomal RNA intergenic spacer". The stretch from base 45 to 118 matches the Rfam family "tRNA". The record is from RNAcentral. Lineage: Bacteria; Pseudomonadati; Pseudomonadota; Acidithiobacillia; Acidithiobacillales; Acidithiobacillaceae.
AAGAAAAGGGUCUAGACCCCACACACGCCACUCGGUAAGGAAUUGGGCCUAUAGCUCAGCUGGCUAGAGCACACGACUGAUAAUCGUGAGGUCAGUGGUUCGAGUCCACUUGGGCCCACCAAAUGGGGCUGUAGCUCAGUUGGGAGAGCACCUGCUUUGCAAGCAGGGGGUCACCGGUUCGAGACCGGUCAGCUCCACCACAGGGAUGGAAGGCCCGCAAAGAGCGCGGGCUGGUCGCUGGGGAAGCGGUAUGGAAGUGAUUUGGGAUUGGAUUUUUAGUGUGUAGUGCUGAAUGACGCUUUACGGAUGUAGGAAGUUAAAAGGCGCUAUUGAUCACUGCCCACUCGGAAGAUUUGAGUGCGUUAGUUUGUUCUUUGACAGUUGAGGAAGGGAAGGCCAUGUUUGCCAUCUUGCCGAUGGCGGACCUCCAGGUGGAUGCUUGGGGAUAUAU